This 606-nucleotide long non-coding RNA is filed under the name Heterocephalus glaber (naked mole-rat). RNAcentral describes it as "lncRNA (ENSHGLG00100034014.1)". Lineage: Eukaryota; Metazoa; Chordata; Mammalia; Rodentia; Bathyergidae. The record is from RNAcentral.
CAACUCUUCUGAAAUAAUCCUGAAGCCUGGCAACCCCUGCUUUGACCAAAGUGAGCUUGGCUAAACAUUCUGCUACCUUCACCAAAAGUCUCCCAGUCUGAUUUUUUAGAACGGCCAGAAGGAAGCCCUUGCUUUUCUCAAGGCCCACUAGGUACUCUGUGCAGAGAAAACUUGGUCAGCAGGAGGCAACUCUAUGGGAACUCCCAGGGCUGGCUGGCUGUAGCUGAGGCCUUUCUGCUUGGAGAUAAGGAAGUAUUUAUUGAUGGAUCAAAGGCUAUAAUUUUAAUGGGACAACUGUGGAUUAAAAGUUUGCUGUACAGCCAAAGGUGGAAAAAGCCAUAAUCUUAGGAACUUUAUGUAAAUCAAGGAGCCUCUGAAGUACCUAAGAGUUUUGGCCAAUCUUACGGUUAUAAAGUCAUCUUAAAACAAGAUUAAACCAGCCAAACAAACAAAAAACCAAAAAACAUAAACCAGCCUCUCUGGGUCCUGGAAUUGAGACAUCUAUAAAACAACUUAGCAAAGAAAAAAAGCAGCAGAGCCACAGGAAACAAGAAAGAGCUAACAGGGAAACUAUAAACCACAGAAAAACUGAAAACAACACAAAAG